AACGCUGGCGGCGUGCUUAACACGAUGCAAGUCGAACGGAGUUUUAACGGAAGUUUCGGAUGGAAGUUAGAAACUAGUGGCGGACGGGUGAGUAACGCGUGGGUAACCUGCCUCAUACAGGGGGAUAACAGUUAGAAAUGACUGCUAACACCGCAUAAUAUAGCGAAACCGCAUGAUUUUUGCUAUCAAAUAUUUAUAGGUAUGAGAUGGGCCCGCGUCUGAUUAGCUAGUUGGUGGGGUAAAGCCUACCAAGGCGACGAUCAGUAGCCGGCUUGAGAGAGUGACCGGCCACAUUGGGACUGAGACACGGCCCAAACUCCUACGGGAGGCAGCAGUGGGGAAUAUUGGACAAUGGGGGAAACCCUGAUCCAGCGAACCGCCGCGUGAGUGAAGAAGUAUUUCGGUAUGUAAAGCUCUAUCAGCAGGGAAGAUAAUGACAGUACCUGACUAAGAAGCCCCGGCUAACUACGUGCCAGCCGCAGC
This 483-nucleotide ribosomal RNA is filed under the name uncultured bacterium. RNAcentral describes it as "bacterial SSU rRNA". It matches the Rfam family "Bacterial small subunit ribosomal RNA", at positions 32 to 518 of the family's 1533-position model. The record is from RNAcentral.